GGAAGUUUUCAGAGAUGAGAAUGUGCCUUCGGGAACCGUGAGACAGGUGCUGCAUGGCUGUCGUCAGCUCGUGUUGUGAAAUGUUGGGUUAAGUCCCGCAACGAGCGCAACCCUUAUCCUUUGUUGCCAGCGGUCCGGCCGGGAACUCAAAGGAGACUGCCAGUGAUAAACUGGAGGAAGGUGGGGAUGACGUCAAGUCAUCAUGGCCCUUACGACCAGGGCUACACACGUGCUACAAUGGCGCAUACAAAGAGAAGCGACCUCGCGAGAGCAAGCGGACCUCAUAAAGUGCGUCGUAGUCCGGAUUGGAGUCUGCAACUCGACUCCAUGAAGUCGGAAUCGCUAGUAAUCGUGGAUCAGAAUGCCACGGUGAAUACGUUCCCGGGCCUUGUACACACCGCCCGUCACACCAUGGGAGUGGGUUGCAAAAGAAGUAGGUAGCUUAACCUUCGGGAGGGCGCUUACCACUUUGUGAUUCAUGACUGGGGUGAAGUCGUAACAAGGUAACCGUAGGGGAACCUGC
This 523-nucleotide ribosomal RNA is filed under the name Salmonella enterica. Its description in RNAcentral is "partial 16S ribosomal RNA". It matches the Rfam family "Bacterial small subunit ribosomal RNA", at positions 992 to 1515 of the family's 1533-position model. RNAcentral also lists the same sequence under 1 other name. The record is from RNAcentral. Lineage: Bacteria; Pseudomonadati; Pseudomonadota; Gammaproteobacteria; Enterobacterales; Enterobacteriaceae.